Molecule: long non-coding RNA, 535 nt
Filed under: Danio rerio (zebrafish)
Lineage: Eukaryota; Metazoa; Chordata; Actinopteri; Cypriniformes; Danionidae
Description: si:ch73-361k9.1 (ENSDARG00000102049.2)
Source: RNAcentral
AAAUACCUGCUUAAUUAUUUCAUAGUAGGAGCAAACAUGCCUUAAUAAAAGGAGCACAUUUGAAACUUUAGUAACCAUAAAAAGUACACCAAGUGGAUGCCUUUCUACUCCAGGAAGCCGCAGCAUACGGCCUGAAGGAGGAAGGACGCGGUCAGUUUGAAAUCUGGGCCAGUUCUGCAGAUGAUCAGAUGGAGUUCGCCAUCAUCACAUCCCUCAUUGCUGCAGUCAGACUGAAACAGGACGGUGAUGCAUGGCAGUCAAUGCCCGAGAUACGGAUGAUGAAGAGACCACAGCAACAUCUGGUCCAGAUGAGGACACAAGGGCAGGUGGACUGAUGCAGGGUCUCGUUUAAUUCACUACAGGAGAACAGGAGUGGCCAAACUCAGUCCAGAACUGCUGCUGUCUUGCAGAGUUUAGUUGAAGUUGACUCUAAACUUCACCAGCCAUCCAGAACUAAGUUUGGGCACCCCUGCAUUACAGCUUUUCAAGGAUGCUGCUGUGGACUUCUUUACACUCACCACACACACCAAUCUGC